UCCCUGGUGGUCCAAUAGCUAAGACUCUGAGUUCUCAAUGCAGCGGCCCUGGUUCAAUCCCUGGUCAGGGAA
Ovis aries (sheep) is the source of this 72-nucleotide transfer RNA. It matches the Rfam family "tRNA". Rfam says of the family: Transfer RNA (tRNA) molecules are approximately 80 nucleotides in length. Their secondary structure includes four short double-helical elements and three loops (D, anti-codon, and T loops). The record is from Rfam. Lineage: Eukaryota; Metazoa; Chordata; Mammalia; Artiodactyla; Bovidae.